Non-coding RNA from Vicia faba (fava bean), 258 nucleotides. The record is from the annotation of a GenBank genome assembly. Lineage: Eukaryota; Viridiplantae; Streptophyta; Magnoliopsida; Fabales; Fabaceae.
AUGUCAACUACUCCAUUGUUUCUCACUCACUCUCUCUCUUCUCUAUAUCUCUCUCUCUUCACAUCACACACAAUAAUGGACAGUGGAGGUGGUUUUCAUGGCUACCGCAAGCUCUCAACCACUAACUCUGGGACAUUGAAGCUAUCAUCAGUGUCUGAGAUGAACACGGGGCGGCAGGUAGGAGGAGAACAGAUCAACAACAACAACCAUUCAUCAAUAGGAUCAGAUAAAGACAAUGAAUGCACUGUUAGGGAAUAA